CCUACGGGAGGCUGCAGUGAGGAAUAUUGGUCAAUGGGCGCGAGCCUGAACCAGCCAAGUCGCGUGAGGGAAGACGGUCCUAUGGAUUGUAAACCUCUUUUGUCGGGGAGCAAAAGACGCCACGCGUGGCGUUCCGAGAGUACCCGAAGAAAAAGCAUCGGCUAAUUCCGUGCCAGCAGCCGCGGUAAUACGGAGGAUGCGAGCGUUAUCCGGAUUUAGUGGGUUAAAAGGGUGCGCAGGCGGAAGAUCAAGUCAGCGGUAAAAUUGAGGGGCUCAACCUCUUCGAGCCGUUGAAACUGGUUUUCUUGAGUGAGUGAGAAGUAUGCGGAAGGCGUGGUGUAGCGGUGAAAUGCAUAGAUAUCACGCAGAACUCCGAUUGCGAAGGCAGCAUACCGGCGCUCAACUGACGCUCAUGCACGAAAGUGUGGGUAUCGAACAGGAUUAGAUACCCCAGUAGUC
This 459-nucleotide ribosomal RNA is filed under the name uncultured bacterium. RNAcentral's name for it is "partial 16S ribosomal RNA". It matches the Rfam family "Bacterial small subunit ribosomal RNA", at positions 338 to 795 of the family's 1533-position model. The record is from RNAcentral.